AGUGGAAUAGCUGGGUCAUAUGGUGGUUCCAUUAUUUCUUUUUUUGAGGAAUCUCCAUACUGCUUUCCAGAGUGGUUGUACUAAUUUGCAUUCUUACCAACAAU
Molecule: microRNA precursor, 104 nt
Filed under: Marmota monax (woodchuck)
Lineage: Eukaryota; Metazoa; Chordata; Mammalia; Rodentia; Sciuridae
Source: RNAcentral